GUUAAAUUGUAUUGCUCAGGGAGGGUUGGUUAAAUUGUUUUGUUCAGGAAGGGUUUGUUAAAUUGUAUUGCUCAGGGAGGGUUGGUUAAAUUGUAUUGCUCAGGGAGGUUUUGUUAAAUUGUUUUGUUCAGGGAGGGUUUGUUAAAUUGUUUUGUUCAGGAAGGGUUUGUUAAAUUGUAUUGCUCAGGAAGGGUUGGUUAAAUUGUAUUGCUCAGGGAGGAUUUGAUAAAUUGUUUUGCUUAGAGAGGGUUUGUUAAAUUGUAUUGCUCAGGAAGGGUUGGUUAAAUUGUUUUGUUCAGGAAGGGUUUGUUAAAUUGUAUUGCGCAGGGAGGGUUGGUUAAAUUGUAUUGCUCAGGGAGGUUUUGUUAAAUUGUUUUGUUCAGGGAGGAUUUGUUUAAUUGUUUUGUUCAGGAAGGGUUUGUUAAAUUGUAUUGCUCAGGGAGGGUUGGUUAAAUUGUAUUGAUCAGGGAGGAUUUGUUAAAUUGUUUUGCUCAGGGAGGAUAAGCUGAUGAAUGAUUGGUUGCCUUACUGUAUGUUUACAUUUUUUAUACAUAAUUUGAUAUGCAUAAUUUUUAUUUAUCUGAUUAUUUUAUUGUGUUUUUUUCUAUGUGUUUUGAUGAUUGAAAGGGUUUGUUUAAUUUGAUUGCUCAGGAAGGGUUUGUUGAAUUCAAUUGUUCAGGAAGUGUUU
RNAcentral lists this long non-coding RNA (688 nucleotides) under Mytilus galloprovincialis (Mediterranean mussel). Lineage: Eukaryota; Metazoa; Mollusca; Bivalvia; Mytilida; Mytilidae. The record is from RNAcentral.